CAGUGAAAGAUGAACGAGGAUAGCCAACUCGCCGCACAAAGGGAUACAUCUAUAUCAAAUUUAACUAAUAUUCUACUAAUCGUUGGAAAGAGUCAAGCAAAUACCUCCAACAUCGUGUCCUCCUUCUAUUUGGUAAGCGCUGCUGGCAACACCGAAAAUAAAUCCAUCCGGAAAAUGGUAUUUUUCCGAGUCGAUCACAACACUGGAAUCAUUCAUUUCUACUUCAUUAAGAAAA
Molecule: long non-coding RNA, 235 nt
Organism: Leptinotarsa decemlineata (Colorado potato beetle)
Lineage: Eukaryota; Metazoa; Arthropoda; Insecta; Coleoptera; Chrysomelidae
Source: RefSeq, a predicted model, not a curated record